Schizosaccharomyces pombe (fission yeast) is the source of this 410-nucleotide non-coding RNA. NCBI's taxonomy places the organism in Eukaryota, Fungi, Ascomycota, Schizosaccharomycetes, Schizosaccharomycetales, Schizosaccharomycetaceae. The record is from the annotation of a GenBank genome assembly.
CGGCAGUUACUUUGAGAUAGUACUUUGUUAUUAAUCUUCAGAAUUUUUUUCAGCAAUUUCGAAUAUGGGUAUAUCAUUGUAAGUAUACUGUAGUCUGGUUAUUGCUUUUGGGAUGUGUGUGUAAGUUACUAUAGUUGCCAUAAAAUAAAUGUCUAUUGCAAUUUCGGUACUGUGGUAAAGCAUGCAGCCUUAUAAUUUUGUACUGCUCAAAAAGACUACGCGAUAUACAUAUAGUAUAAACCCUUCAACAUUGCCGAGGUCCAUGCCGAAAGCGGCAUAUAAAAGGCCAAAUUUUUUUAAAUUUUUGACAGUCAAUAAAAAUAAUCAGAACUAGAGGAAAGAGAUUCAGAAAGGCAAAGCUUCUGAAACACUGAAUUAUUUGCAAUUGUCCAAAAUAUAGUCAAUUGUGA